This 396-nucleotide long non-coding RNA is filed under the name Fukomys damarensis (Damara mole-rat). RNAcentral describes it as "lncRNA (ENSFDAG00000021789.1)". The record is from RNAcentral. Lineage: Eukaryota; Metazoa; Chordata; Mammalia; Rodentia; Bathyergidae.
AGAGUUAGUACUAAUCUGCUGUCUAAUGUUAAGAUUGUAAUCUUUAUUUUUUUCCUUCUAUCUAUAGUUCCAAUGACAGGAUUCACACAGAGAGCAACUAUCGAUCCAGAACUAAAUGAAAUACAUGUCUUAUCUGGGCUCAGCAAAGACAAGGAAAAGAGAGAAGAGAAUGUCAGAAAUUCAUUCUGGAUUUAUGACAUUGUGAGGAAUAGUUGGUCUUGUGUCUAUAAGAAUGAUCAAGCUGCAAAAGAUAAUCCAAGUAAAAGUCUACAAGAGGAAGAACCAUGUCCAAGAUUUGCCCAUCAGCUUGUUUAUGAUGAAUUACAUAAGGUAUAUUAACUACUUUCACCUAUAAACUUUCUAUGGCCUUAAAUAUGCAAGAAUCUCUGAAUAUCU